This 205-nucleotide ribosomal RNA is filed under the name uncultured bacterium. RNAcentral's name for it is "partial 16S ribosomal RNA". It matches the Rfam family "Bacterial small subunit ribosomal RNA", at positions 319 to 517 of the family's 1533-position model. The record is from RNAcentral.
CUGAGACACGGCCCAGACUCCUACGGGAGGCAGCAGUGGGGAAUUUUGGACAAUGGGCGCAAGCCUGAUCCAGCUAUUCCGCGUGUGGGAUGAAGGCCCUCGGGUUGUAAACCACUUUGUAGAGAACGAAAAGACACCUUUUAAUAAAGGGUGUUGCUGACGGUACUCUAAGAAUAAGCACCGGCUAACUACGUGCCAGCAGCCG